UAGGGAAUCUUCGGCAAUGGGGGUAACCCUGACCGAGCAACGCCGCGUGAGUGAAGAAGGUUUUCGGUUCUUAAAGCUCUUUCGUUAAGGAAGAACGAGUGUGAGAAUGGAAAGUUCAUACUGUGACGGUACUUAACCAGAAAGGGACGGCUAACUACGUGCCAGCAGCCGCGGUCAUACGUAGGUCCCGAGCGUAGUCCGGAGUUAUUGGGCGUAAAGCGAGCGCAGGCGGUUUGAUAAGUCUGGAGUUAAAGGCAGUGGCUCAACCAUAGUAGGCUUGGGGAACUGUUUAAGCUGAAGGCAGGUGGGGAGAGGAGAAUUCCCUGUGGUGGGGUGAAAUGGGUUGGUAUAUGGAGGAACACCGGUGGCGAAAGGGGAUCUCUGAUCUGUAACUGAACCUGAGGCUAGAAAGCGUGGGGAGGGAACAGG
This 429-nucleotide ribosomal RNA is filed under the name Bacteroidota bacterium. RNAcentral describes it as "Bacteroidetes bacterium partial 16S ribosomal RNA". It matches the Rfam family "Bacterial small subunit ribosomal RNA", at positions 355 to 776 of the family's 1533-position model. Lineage: Bacteria; Pseudomonadati; Bacteroidota. The record is from RNAcentral.